RNAcentral lists this unclassified non-coding RNA (253 nucleotides) under uncultured Enterobacteriaceae bacterium. Its description in RNAcentral is "contains 16S-23S intergenic spacer region". It matches the Rfam family "Bacterial small subunit ribosomal RNA", at positions 524 to 776 of the family's 1533-position model. The record is from RNAcentral. Lineage: Bacteria; Pseudomonadati; Pseudomonadota; Gammaproteobacteria; Enterobacterales; Enterobacteriaceae.
UACGGAGGGUGCAAGCGUUUAUCGGAAUUACUGGGCGUAAAGCGCACGCAGGCGGUCUGUCAAGUCGGAUGUGAAAUCCCCAGGCUCAAACUGGGUACUGCAUCCGAAACUGGCAGACUAGAGUCUAGGAGAGGGGGGUAGAAGUCCAGGUGUAGCGGUGAAAUGCGUAGAGAUCUGGAGGAAUACCGGUGGCGAAGGCGGCCCCCUGGACAAAGACUGACGCUCAGGUGCGAAAGCGUGGGGAGCAAACAGG